CCUACGGGAGGCAGCAGUGGGGGAUAUUGCACAAUGGGGGAAACCCUGAUGCAGCGACGCCGCGUGUGGGAAGACGGUCCACUGGAGUGUAAACCACUGUAGCCAGGGACGAAGAUGACGGGACCGGGGGAGGAAGCGCCGGCUAACUACGUGCCAGCAGCAGCGGUAAUACGGCGGGAGCAAGCGUGGUCCGGAAUUACUGGGGGUAAAGGGAGCGGAGGCGGGCUGGCAAGUUGGGUGUUUCAUCUACCGGCUCAACUGGUAGUCGCACUCCAAACUGCUAUUCUUGAGUGAAGUAGAGGCAGGCCGCAUUCCUAGUGUAGCGGUGCACUUCCUAGCUAUUCGGAGGAACUCCAGUGGCGAAGGCGGCCUGCUGUGCUUUUACUGACGCUGCGGCUCGAAAGUGUGGGGAGCAAACAGGAUUAGAUACCCUUGUAGUC
RNAcentral lists this ribosomal RNA (440 nucleotides) under uncultured bacterium. RNAcentral describes it as "partial 16S ribosomal RNA". It matches the Rfam family "Bacterial small subunit ribosomal RNA", at positions 338 to 795 of the family's 1533-position model. The record is from RNAcentral.